ACGCGCUUUUAAUUUCUCACUGCAGGUGGCGUUUUUGUGUCGCACUCUGUUGACCAAUUUGGUAGUUGUAUCCGAUGAAUUUUAUAUAUUAUCGAGUCUAUAAAAAGCCGUUGAUUUUAAGACGCAUACAACGCCAUGCUGUCGUAAAUUAUGUAGCGCUGUUGAUUUAUUCCAAUAGGAAUGUAAAACAACGCUCCACAGGCGCACCAAGUGAGAGUUUGACCCUCAACAUCUGAAGGGGACUAGGCUGCAGUGUGCUGAUUAGAAAGAAGAUUAUUCCAUGUGACAGACUGUCAAGAAACUGAAGAUUUCAUACAAUGGUCGCUACUGCUGUCUUGAGAUAAGACAGCAAACUGGAUCUAACCCGUAUAGAAAAAGAAACGAAGGCAGAGAUGCACAACUGCCUAAAACGAUGAAGACACCAGAGUCUAUAGUUUGAGUAACAAAUGCCUUACACAUUGCUCAAUUCGCUUGUUCCUUAAAUACACACCAUGUACAAGUGUCAUUUGUAAUAGUGCAAAGACAAAUCUGGGUGUUGACCAUUAUACACAUUUCCAAACAGUAUUUAAUAAUUUUUUUUUUUUUUGCCAGUUUCAUCAGAUAUGUCAUUUUCUUUGAAACUCUGCCUCUAAAGCCUGGAUUGGUCUUUUUACUGUUGGAGACAACACUGGUAUUUGACGAGUAAAAAUCUUUUUAAGCAGUAA
Molecule: long non-coding RNA, 704 nt
Organism: Polypterus senegalus (gray bichir)
Lineage: Eukaryota; Metazoa; Chordata; Cladistia; Polypteriformes; Polypteridae
Exons: 2
Source: RefSeq, a predicted model, not a curated record